Molecule: ribosomal RNA, 408 nt
Filed under: uncultured bacterium
Lineage: Bacteria
Description: partial 16S ribosomal RNA
Rfam family: Bacterial small subunit ribosomal RNA
Source: RNAcentral
GACGAACGCUGGCGGCGUGCUUAACACAUGCAAGUCGAACGAAGUGGCGAACGGGUGGGUAACGCGUAAUCAACCUGCCCUGCAGAGGGGGACAACAGUUGGAAAAGACUGCUAAUACCGCAUACCGCAGGUGGGGAUUGCGUCUGAUUAGCUAGUUGGAGGGGUAACGGCCAACUAAGGCGAGGAUCAGGAGUCGGUCUGAGAGGAUGAACGGCCACAUUGGGACUGAGACACGGCCCAUACGUCUACGGGAGGCAGCAGGUGGGAAUCUGCCGCAAGGGACGAAAGUCUGACGGAGCAACGCCGCGUGAGUGAGGACGGCCUUCGGGUUGUAAAGCUCUGUUAUUCGGGACGCGGUACCGGAAUAGAAAGCCACGGCUAACUACGUGCCAGCCGCCGCGGUAAUUC